CCAGUUGGCCGGGCGGCCGCGCUGUACCAAUGCCGAAAGGCGGUAUGGUGAGGAAAGUCCGGGCUCCACGGAAACACGGUGCCGGAUAAUGUCCGGCGGGGGUGACCCCAGGGAAAGUGCCACAGAAAGCAAACCGCCCCGCUUUCAUGACGUCUGGUCGCCGAAAAGGCGUGAGAGGCAGACGCCAUGAUGGCGGGGUAAGGGUGAAAGGGUGGGGUAAGAGCCCACCGCGGAUGCGGCAACGCAGACGGCAAGGUAAACCCCACCGGGAGCAAGACCGAAUAGGGAUGACGCGGCGCUUCGGCACCAGCCUGUUUCCGGGCCAGUCAUCCGGGUGGGUUGCGCGAGGCAGUGCGCAAGCACUGUCCCAGAUGAAUGGUCGCCACGUCCUUUCCUAGCGGUAAGGGCCAUACAGAACCCGGCUUACAGGCCAACUGGUUUU
This 442-nucleotide RNase P RNA is filed under the name Martelella alba. Its description in RNAcentral is "Bacterial RNase P class A". It matches the Rfam family "Bacterial RNase P class A". Rfam says of the family: Ribonuclease P (RNase P) is a ubiquitous endoribonuclease, found in archaea, bacteria and eukarya as well as chloroplasts and mitochondria. Its best characterised activity is the generation of mature 5'-ends of tRNAs by cleaving the 5'-leader elements of precursor-tRNAs. Lineage: Bacteria; Pseudomonadati; Pseudomonadota; Alphaproteobacteria; Hyphomicrobiales; Aurantimonadaceae. The record is from Rfam by way of RNAcentral.